This 1057-nucleotide ribosomal RNA is filed under the name uncultured bacterium. RNAcentral describes it as "bacterial SSU rRNA". It matches the Rfam family "Bacterial small subunit ribosomal RNA", at positions 200 to 1277 of the family's 1533-position model. The record is from RNAcentral.
GUCAAAGAUUUAUUGCUGAGAGAUGGCCUCGCGUCUGAUUAGCUAGUUGGUAGGGUAACGGCCUACCAAGGCGACGAUCAGUAGCCGGACUGAGAGGUUGACCGGCCACAUUGGGACUGAGAUACGGCCCAGACUCCUACGGGAGGCAGCAGUGGGGAAUAUUGGGCAAUGGGCGAAAGCCUGACCCAGCAACGCCGCGUGAAGGAAGAAGGCCUUCGGGUUGUAAACUUCUUUUACCAGGGACGAACACAAUGACGGUACCUGGAGAAAAAGCAACGGCUAACUACGUGCCAGCAGCCGCGGUAAUACGUAGGUUGCAAGCGUUGUCCGGAAUUACUGGGUGUAAAGGGCGUGUAGGCGGAGAUGCAAGUUGGGAGUGAAAUCCAUGGGCUCAACCCAUGAACUGCUUUCAAAACUGCAUCCCUUGAGUAUCGGAGAGGCAAGCGGAAUUCCUAGUGUAGCGGUGAAAUGCGUAGAUAUUAGGAGGAACACCAGUGGCGAAGGCGGCUUGCUGGACGACAACUGACGCUGAGGCGCGAAAGCGUGGGGAGCAAACAGGAUUAGAUACCCUGGUAGUCCACGCUGUAAACGAUGAAUACUAGGUGUGGGAGGACUGACCCCUUCCGUGCCGCAGUUAACACAAUAAGUAUUCCACCUGGGGAGUACGACCGCAAGGUUGAAACUCAAAGGAAUUGACGGGGGCCCGCACAAGCAGUGGAUUAUGUGGUUUAAUUCGACGCAACGCGAAGAACCUUACCAGGAUUUGACAUCCAACUAACGAAGUAGAGAUACAUUAGGUGCCCUUCGGGGAAAGUUGAGACAGGUGGUGCAUGGUUGUCGUCAGCUCGUGUCGUGAGAUGUUGGGUUAAGUCCCGCAACGAGCGCAACCCCUAUUGUUAGUUGCUACGCAAGAGCACUCUAGCGAGACUGCCGUUGACAAAACGGAGGAAGGCGGGGACGACGUCAAAUCAUCAUGCCCCUUAUGUCCUGGGCUACACACGUAAUACAAUGGCCGUCAACAAAGGGAAGCAAUACCGCGAGGUGGAGCAAACCCCCA